AGUAAUGUAUGGGGAUCUGCCCGAUAGAGGGGAAUAACUACUGGAAACGGUGGCUAAUACCGCAUAAUGUCUACGGACCAAAGCAGGGGCUCUUCGGACCUUGCACUACCGGAUGAACCCAUAUGGGAUUAGCUAGUAGGUGGGGUAAAGGCUCACCUAGGCGACGAUCUCUAGCUGGUCUGAGAGGAUGAUCAGCCACACUGGGACUGAGACACGGCCCAG
This 222-nucleotide ribosomal RNA is filed under the name uncultured bacterium. Its description in RNAcentral is "partial 16S ribosomal RNA". It matches the Rfam family "Bacterial small subunit ribosomal RNA", at positions 109 to 334 of the family's 1533-position model. The record is from RNAcentral.